CUGCUAGCACAUAUGUAUGGGUUCAGUACGUAUGGCACACAGAAAGGGGAGUGUGUUUGCCUACAGUGUCUCUCUGGAUCCUCUUUGUUUAUAUUGAAGCAGCCAUUAGAUUUAAAGAUCUCAAAAACUUUCAUGUAGACCUUUGUCGUCCAUUUGCUGCUCACUGCAGCCAAAGGAUUACCUGAUAUGGAUUCUUCGAUCCUUAUACACCACAAUGGAGGUAUCCCAGCCAACAAAAAACUCUCCACAACUUUGCCAGAGAUAGAAUACCGAGAAAAAGGGAAAGAAAAGGACAAGGAUGCCAAAAAACACAACCUUGGAAUAAAUAACAACAAUAUUCUACAACCUGUAGACUCUAAAAUACAAGAGAUUGAGUAUAUGGAAAACCAUAUCAAUAGUAAAAGAUUAAAUAAUGAUCUUGUGGGAAGUACAGAAAAUCUCUUGAAAGAGGACUCAUGCACUGCUUCCUCAAAAAAUUACAAAAAUGCCAGUGGAGUUGUGAACUCUUCACCUCGAAGUCAUAGCGCCACAAAUGGGAGCAUUCCUUCCUCAUCUAGUA
This 559-nucleotide small RNA is filed under the name Pan troglodytes (chimpanzee). RNAcentral describes it as "processed transcript". The record is from RNAcentral. Lineage: Eukaryota; Metazoa; Chordata; Mammalia; Primates; Hominidae.